This 1555-nucleotide long non-coding RNA is filed under the name Eucalyptus grandis. RNAcentral's name for it is "long non-coding RNA (EGRA_LNC001384)". Lineage: Eukaryota; Viridiplantae; Streptophyta; Magnoliopsida; Myrtales; Myrtaceae. The record is from RNAcentral.
AUGAUGUUUGUUGGGUCAGCUAAAGAGCCAUUGAAAGAUCUACAUUCAUACAACAACAUAAUCAAAAUGAAGUAUGUAGCAGAAUGGUUAGGGUGCCUGACAAGUCAAUCAAAAAGUGUAAAAAAAAAGACAGCAGUUAUUGCUAAUUUUGGUUAGCCUGCAAAAGUCCAAGGAAAGAAGCUGUAUAGGCAAUACCUUCCUAGACAAUUGCUCAAGGGAAACUCCCUAACAAUCAUCUACUUUUCCCAAUCGUCCUCAACGGAUAGAUUGAGAAAGAGUAUAAAAAAGAAGACCAUGAAGAUCCAAAGGAGUGUGCAACACAUAAAAAGAUCAAGUAACUUACAUACUAUUUUUCUUAGCCGAAAGCUCUCUAUCUUACUAUUUUGAUUGUCAUGCUGUUUAGCAAUUGUGUUAGGAUUAAGUGUACAAGUGUAAGAACAACAACUGAGUCCAGGUAAUGUGAUAUAUUGUGUAAAGGAUCAAUGUUAGUCGUUUGUAACUUUCCGAGUAGAUUGCUAGUGGAAUCCAACCUGUCUUGAGACUAUUAGUUUAAAGAGUUGAUGUAGGCUUUAGAAUGCCGAACCACUAUAACUCUUUGUCCCUUACUAUUUUUCAUCUGCUUAAAUACAUUGGCAUACAAUUAGUGAGUAUUUACAUAAACAUCAGGUUAAGGUGAUAUUUACUUAGCAAUCAGCUAAUUUUCGCAAAAGAUCAUCAAAGUUUGAAAAUAACAUACUCACCCUUCCUCUAAGCUGUAUUGUUAGUCUCAACAUGUUCAAGCACUUUCAUAUUCAACUUCCUUCCAGCCUCUGCUCUAGGACUCUUCCAUUAAUGCAGAUCGGAUUCAAGAGAAUCUCCAAAAUGAGGUUAAAGGACAUCUCAGACGUUUGGAAAAACAUAAAGAAAAGAUCAACCGGUUCUGUCAAAAAUAGUACAGUUGCGUAGAAAAAGAGAAAAUGAAAGAGUAUUGUUUCUUGGACUCCAAAAAGAAAGAAACCUACCGUCCUAUUGAGAGAUGAAGAUGAAGAUGAGGAAGACACUCGUUCUGACAUAAUUGCAAAUAUAGGAAUGACAGACCCUGUUAUAGAGUUACUGAAUUUGAUGACGAAGAAGAAAGCGAGAAAGAUGAAGUAAGUAAAAGAGAAGAAGAUGGAGAAGACAAAGAAUGAGAUGAUAGAAAAGAAGAUAACAAAGAAGAGAGUGACAAAGAAAAGGAUGAAAAUGAAGGGAAUGACAAAGAAGUAGAAGAUGAUGAAGAAGGUGAUGAAGCAAAAGGUUACAAAGGAGAAAAAACUGAAAGAAUGACCAAGAAAAAGGCGUUGGGAAUACAGAGAAGGUGAUCAACUUGUUAAUCUAGAAGGUGGAGACCUUAACACACAGGAUGCAAGUGUAAAUGUAGGGGAGUCUCUGAGAAACUCCAUCAUAAACAUAGGCUCCAAUAUAGACCUACAGUGACACUCAAGCCAGUUAAUCUCCACCUGAUGGUCAGUAAUUGGAAGCAACAAUAGGUAGUUGUGAAAAAUUAAGCUUCACCAACAACAAACAGCCUCAAAUU